CUCAAUCCCAUCCCCGUGGCUGUGCCUGCGACGCUGAGAGCCCCAAACACAGGGGAGGAGCUGCUCCUGAAACACGGUUGCUGUGGAGGUUAUGGGGGAAGACCAGGAAUUCAGAAACAGGAGUAAAAUAGCCCAGAGUCUUGUUCUGUCACUCAGGUUGGAGCACAGUGGCACAAUCUCAGCUCACUAUAACUUCUACCUCCUGGGUGCAUGCGAUUCUCCUGCCUCAGCUUCUCAAGUUUCUGGGAUUACAGCCAAACUUCCAGAUGAAUGUUCUACAACUGUGCUUCUAUUUCCUUUUAACCGAUCCUCCUGAUAUUUCUUUGGUGUCGAUGUCACCUGUCAACUGACCUGCCUUUUUGAAAGUCACAAUGGCAUUAAAGAAUCUUGGCACGGAAAGGAAACAGCCUGGUGCAAAUGUGUCUUUUCUUGGCCUGCAGGCCUCCUUACUAUUCUGCAGUGUAUCCCAGCUGGCCACCCGCCUCCUUCACUUUCUCUUUAUCUUGACUUCUCUGAUAUGAUAGAAAGCUCUCUUGGUCCUUUUACCUUUGUGAAUAAGACCUCGCCAUUCUAUUUGCAACUACACAUUUUUCCUCCUGUCCUAUAGGUGGGUGUUCCCCAGUUCUCAGGCUUUUAUAAUGUGUCCUUUCUUUAAUUCCUCUGGAAGACCUCAUUCUUAUUAUGGCUUUAACUGACACCUCUUAUCCAUCUUUCUGCCUUACCUUCUUCCUGUGUCCUUAUCCCAUAUUUCUGGCUGAAAACACAAACUACUCACCAGGACUUGAAAUAUUUGCUUGUUGUACUUACUACCACCUCAGACUCAACAGGUGUAAAGCAUGAACGACGAACUUUGUGCUUCCC
This is a long non-coding RNA of Callithrix jacchus (white-tufted-ear marmoset), 861 nucleotides long. RefSeq lists it as uncharacterized. The record is from RefSeq and is a predicted model, not a curated record. NCBI's taxonomy places the organism in Eukaryota, Metazoa, Chordata, Mammalia, Primates, Cebidae.